This 511-nucleotide ribosomal RNA is filed under the name Notospermus geniculatus. Its description in RNAcentral is "partial 16S ribosomal RNA". It matches the Rfam family "Bacterial large subunit ribosomal RNA", at positions 1828 to 2597 of the family's 2925-position model. Lineage: Eukaryota; Metazoa; Nemertea; Pilidiophora; Heteronemertea; Lineidae. The record is from RNAcentral.
AGCUUGUUGUUUGUUUUAUAAUAAGUAUUUUCUGCCCGGUGUUUUUAGAAAUAAACGGCCGCGGUACUCUGACCGUGCAAAGGUAGCAUAAUCACUUGCCCUUUAAUUGUGGGCUGGGAUGAAGGGAAGGAUCGUGGGUUUGGCUGUCUCCUUUUUGUUUUUUGAACUUGCUGUCUGUGUGAAGAAGCAUUGUUGGUGGAAAGGGACGAGAAGACCCUAUUAAGCUUUACCUCUGCGGUGGUUCUGGUCUUUCACGUAUUUAGACCUGCUCUGUAGGGGGUUUGGUUGGGGUGACCGGAGAAGAUGUAGAUCUUCUCUUUUGUUUUUACUUUCUGUUUAAUUUCGAUCCAAGAUUUUUUGAUUUAAGGAACUAGUUACUAUAGGGGUAACAGCGUAAUUUUUUCAUAAAGUCCUUAUUGAAGAAAAAGAUUGCGACCUCGAUGUUGACUUGUUGUAUCCUCUUUUGGGUGCAGGUGCCGGGAGGGUUGGUCUGUUCGACCAUUAAAAUGAC